Molecule: ribosomal RNA, 501 nt
Filed under: uncultured Eubacteriales bacterium
Lineage: Bacteria; Bacillati; Bacillota; Clostridia; Eubacteriales
Description: bacterial SSU rRNA
Rfam family: Bacterial small subunit ribosomal RNA
Source: RNAcentral
AGAGUUUGAUCCUGGCUCAGGACGAACGCUGGCGGCGUGCCUAACACAUGCAAGUCGAACGAAGCUUGAAUUCAGAUUUCUUCGGAAUGAAGAAUGAUAUGACUGAGUGGCGGACGGGUGAGUAACGCGUGAGCAACCUGCCCUUCGGAGGGGGAUAGUGUCUGGAAACGGACAGUAAUACCGCAUAACGUAUUUUUACCGCAUGAUAGAAAUACCAAAACUGAGGUGCCGAAGGAUGGGCUCGCGUUGGAUUAGAUAGUUGGUGGGGUAACGGCCUACCAAGUCAACGAUCCAUAGCCGGACUGAGAGGUUGAACGGCCACAUUGGGACUGAGACACGGCCCAGACUCCUACGGGAGGCAGCAGUGGGGAAUAUUGCACAAUGGGGGAAACCCUGAUGCAGCAACGCCGCGUGAAGGAAGACGGUUUUCGGAUUGUAAACUUCUGUUCUUAGUGAAGAAAAAUGACGGUAGCUAAGGAGCAAGCCACGGCUAACUACGUG